Molecule: ribosomal RNA, 492 nt
Filed under: Citrobacter amalonaticus
Lineage: Bacteria; Pseudomonadati; Pseudomonadota; Gammaproteobacteria; Enterobacterales; Enterobacteriaceae
Description: partial 23S ribosomal RNA
Rfam family: Bacterial large subunit ribosomal RNA
Source: RNAcentral
CUGGAGGUAUCAGAAGUGCGAAUGCUGACAUAAGUAACGAUAAAGCGGGUGAAAAGCCCGCUCGCCGGAAGACCAAGGGUUCCUGUCCAACGUUAAUCGGGGCAGGGUGAGUCGACCCCUAAGGCGAGGCCGAAAGGCGUAGUCGAUGGGAAACAGGUUAAUAUUCCUGUACCAGGUGUUACUGCGAAGGGGGGACGGAGAAGGCUAUGUUGGCCGGGCGACGGUUGUCCCGGUUUAAGCGUGUAGGUGUGUGUUCCAGGUAAAUCCGGUUCACUUUAACACUGAGGCGUGAUGACGAGGCACUACGGUGCUGAAGCAACAAAUGCCCUGCUUCCAGGAAAAGCCUCUAAGCAUCAGGUAACAUCAGAUCGUACCCCAAACCGACACAGGUGGUCAGGUAGAGAAUACCAAGGCGCUUGAGAGAACUCGGGUGAAGGAACUAGGCAAAAUGGUGCCGUAACUUCGGGAGAAGGCACGCUGAUACGUAGGUGA